Molecule: long non-coding RNA, 227 nt
Filed under: Elaeis guineensis (African oil palm)
Lineage: Eukaryota; Viridiplantae; Streptophyta; Magnoliopsida; Arecales; Arecaceae
Description: long non-coding RNA (EGUI_LNC075227)
Source: RNAcentral
AAUGUUAUGAAAAAAGGAAGCUAAAAGAAAUAUAUCUAAUUUAGAUUGAGAAGAGAUAUAAGAAGAAAUAAUAAUUUUCUAUUGCAUUUGGAUUAAUUAAGAUAUAAAAAAUAAAUUGAUGUAAUGUAAAGGAUGGACGGAUGGGACCAUGGGAUUGGGGAGGGGCAUUAAAAGAUAAAUAUUAAAAUAAUGAAUAAAGAAAGAGAAAGAAUAAGAAAGAAGGGGUG